Molecule: transfer RNA, 76 nt
Filed under: Lachnospiraceae bacterium
Lineage: Bacteria; Bacillati; Bacillota; Clostridia; Lachnospirales; Lachnospiraceae
Also listed under: 2 other names
Description: tRNA-Val
Rfam family: tRNA
About the family: Transfer RNA (tRNA) molecules are approximately 80 nucleotides in length. Their secondary structure includes four short double-helical elements and three loops (D, anti-codon, and T loops). Further hydrogen bonds mediate the characteristic L-shaped molecular structure. tRNAs have two regions of fundamental functional importance: the anti-codon, which is responsible for specific mRNA codon recognition, and the 3' end, to which the tRNAs corresponding amino acid is attached (by aminoacyl-tRNA synthetases). tRNAs cope with the degeneracy of the genetic code in two manners: having more than one tRNA (with a specific anti-codon) for a particular amino acid; and 'wobble' base-pairing, i.e. permitting non-standard base-pairing at the 3rd anti-codon position.
Source: RNAcentral
GGGCGCAUAGCUCAGCUGGUAGAGCAUCUGCCUUACAAGCAGGAGGUCAUAGGUUCGAGCCCUAUUGCGCCCACCA